UUUGGUGGCGAUGGCGAAGAGGAUACACCCGUUCCCAUUCCGAACACGGAAGUUAAGCUCUUCAGCGCCGAUGGUAGUUGGGGGCCUCCCCCUGCGAGAGUAGGACGUUGCCAAGC
Molecule: ribosomal RNA, 116 nt
Filed under: Calidifontibacillus erzurumensis
Lineage: Bacteria; Bacillati; Bacillota; Bacilli; Caryophanales; Bacillaceae
Source: RNAcentral